This 497-nucleotide ribosomal RNA is filed under the name uncultured bacterium. RNAcentral describes it as "partial 16S ribosomal RNA". It matches the Rfam family "Bacterial small subunit ribosomal RNA", at positions 28 to 507 of the family's 1533-position model. The record is from RNAcentral.
GAUGAACGCUGGCGGCGUGCCUAAUACAUGCAAGUCGAGCGAACGGACGAGAAGCUUGCUUCUCUGAUGUUAGCGGCGGACGGGUGAGUAAAACGUGGAUAACCUACCUAUAAGACUGGGAUAACUUCGGGAAACCGGAGCUAAUACCGGAUAAUAUUUUGAACCGCAUGGUUCAAAAGUGAAAGACGGUCUUGCUGUCACUUAUAGAUGGAUCCGCGCUGCAUUAGCUAGUUGGUAAGGUAACGGCUUACCAAGGCAACGAUGCAUAGCCGACCUGAGAGGGUGAUCGGCCACACUGGAACUGAGACACGGUCCAGACUCCUACGGGAGGCAGCAGUAGGGAAUCUUCCGCAAUGGGCGAAAGCCUGACGGAGCAACGCCGCGUGAGUGAUGAAGGUCUUCGGAUCGUAAAACUCUGUUAUUAGGGAAGAACAUAUGUGUAAUUAACUGUGCACAUCUUGACGGUACCUAAUCAGAAAGCCACGGCUAACUACGUG